GACGAACGCUGGCGGCGUGCUUAACACAUGCAAGUCGAACGGGCCCGCUCUCUUUUUUGGGGGUGGGUUGAGUGGCGAACGGGUGAGUAUCACGUGAGUAACCUGCCCCCUGCUCCUGGAUAACUGCUUGAAAGGGCGGCUAAUACGGGGUGUGCCGGCUGGUCCGCAUGGGCCUGGUCGGGAUAGUUUCAUCUUCGGGUGUUUCGGUGGGGGAUGGGCUCGCGGCCUAUCAGCUUGUUGGUGGGGUGAUGGCCCACCAAGGCGGUGACGGGUAGCCGGCCUGAGAGGGUGGGCGGCCACACUGGGACUGAGACACGGCCCAGACUCCUGCGGGAGGCAGCAGUGGGGGGUAUUGCACAAUGGGCGGAAGCCGGAUGCAGCGACGUCGCGUGAGGGAUGGAGGCCUUCGGGUGGUGAACCUCUUUCUCCGGUGGUGAAGGCCCUGUCCGUUGCGGCGGGGUUGACGGUAGCCGGGUAUGAAGCGCCGGCUAACUACGUG
Molecule: ribosomal RNA, 499 nt
Filed under: uncultured bacterium
Lineage: Bacteria
Description: partial 16S ribosomal RNA
Rfam family: Bacterial small subunit ribosomal RNA
Source: RNAcentral